UACGAAGGGGGCUAGCGUUGUUCGGAAUUACUGGGCGUAAAGAGCGCGCAGGCGGUCAGAUAAGUCGAAUGUGAAAGCCCCUGGCUCAACUGGGGAGGGUCAUUCGAUACUGUUCGACUCGAAGGCAGGAGAGGGAAGCGGAAUUCCCGGUGUAGUGGUGAAAUGCGUAGAUAUCGGGAGGAACACCAGUGGCGAAGGCGACUACCUGGCCUGUUCUUGACGCUGAGGCGCGAAAGCUAGGGGAGCAAACGGG
This 253-nucleotide ribosomal RNA is filed under the name uncultured bacterium. RNAcentral's name for it is "partial 16S ribosomal RNA". It matches the Rfam family "Bacterial small subunit ribosomal RNA", at positions 524 to 776 of the family's 1533-position model. The record is from RNAcentral.